AGGAAGAUGGUUUGGAUGG
This 19-nucleotide non-coding RNA is filed under the name Arabidopsis thaliana (thale cress). The record is from RNAcentral. Lineage: Eukaryota; Viridiplantae; Streptophyta; Magnoliopsida; Brassicales; Brassicaceae.